UCGAGCGAACAGAUAAGGAGCUUGCUCCUUUGACGUUAGCGGCGGACGGGUGAGUAACACGUGGGUAACCUACCUAUAAGACUGGGACAACUUCGGGAAACCGGAGCUAAUACCGGAUAAUAUGUUGAACCGCAUGGUUCAAUAGUGAAAGAUGGUUUUGCUAUCACUUAUAGAUGGACCCGCGCCGUAUUAGCUAGUUGGUGAGGUAACGGCUCACCAAGGCAACGAUACGUAGCCGACCUGAGAGGGUGAUCGGCCACACUGGAACUGAGACACGGUCCAGACUCCUACGGGAGGCAGCAGUAGGGAAUCUUCCGCAAUGGGCGAAAGCCUGACGGAGCAACGCCGCGUGAGUGAUGAAGGUCUUAGGAUCGUAAAACUCUGUUAUUAGGGAAGAACAAACGUGUAAGUAACUGUGCACGUCUUGACGGUACCUAAUCAGAAAGCCACGGCUAACUACGUGCCAGCAGCCGCGGUAAUACGUAGGUGGCAAGCGUUAUCCGGAAUUAUUGGGCGUAAAGCGCGCGUAGGCGGUUUUUUGAGUCUGAUGUGAAAGCCCACGGCUCAACCGUGGAGGGUCAUUGGAAACUGGAAAACUUGAGUGCAGAAGAGGAAAGUGGAAUUCCAUGUGUAGCGGUGAAAUGCGCAGAGAUAUGGAGGAACACCAGUGGCGAAGGCGACUUUCUGGUCUGUAACUGACGCUGAUGUGCGAAA
This 714-nucleotide ribosomal RNA is filed under the name uncultured Staphylococcus sp. Its description in RNAcentral is "bacterial SSU rRNA". It matches the Rfam family "Bacterial small subunit ribosomal RNA", at positions 62 to 758 of the family's 1533-position model. Lineage: Bacteria; Bacillati; Bacillota; Bacilli; Caryophanales; Staphylococcaceae. The record is from RNAcentral.